RNAcentral lists this unclassified non-coding RNA (1575 nucleotides) under Leishmania donovani. RNAcentral's name for it is "gene:LdHU3.28.1260(CDS-product:40S_ribosomal_prot ein_S14)". Lineage: Eukaryota; Euglenozoa; Kinetoplastea; Trypanosomatida; Trypanosomatidae. The record is from RNAcentral.
GGUGUACUGCGUGAAGCUCUUUCCAGCCACAACACAAUGUCCAAGAAGCAGGAGGUCAAGACGUAUGGCCCGAACGUGAAGAAGGGAGACCUCGUUUACGGUGUCGUGCACAUCUUCGCCUCCUUCAAUGACACAUUCGUGCACGUGACAGACACGUCCGGCCGCGAAACAUACGUGAAAGUUACUGGCGGUAUGAAGGUGAAGGCCGAUCGCGAUGAGUCUUCCCCCUACGCUGCGAUGAUGGCCGCCCAGGACGUCGUGGCGCGUUGCAAGGAGUGCGGAAUCAACGCCCUGCACGUCAAGAUGCGCGCCGUCGGUGGUGUGCGCACCAAGUCCCCUGGCCCUGGCGCCCAGGCCGCCCUCCGCGCGCUCGCCCGUGCUGGGAUGAAGAUUGGCCGCAUCGAGGAUGUCACCCCGAUCCCGACCGAUUCCACCCGCCGCAAGGGCUCCCGCCGUGGUCGCCGCCUGUAGGCCUCGAUGCAUGUACCUGAGCACGUGCCUUCGAAUCGCCUUUCGAAUGCGAGCCUACUCUGGCGAAUCGCUGCAUGUGAGCAUGCGCGCGUUUGUGUCUGCGUGUGUUGCGGCUUGUCGGCGAGUGCGCUAGCCAGUGCUUGCCUCUGCGUCCUUCCGGCAUCAGCACGAAUAGAGGCGAAGAAAAGGUGCGUGCAUCCGGCACGCGUAUACGCUCGCCGGAGUGGGUGCAUCGAAUGCGGCAGGGCCAAACAUAAGAACAGGGAGGCGUAACGGAGUGGCGGCAGCCGUUUCCUCGGUGUGCUACCCGCCUCCCUCACUGCUAGUCUGGCGGAAGCAGGCGGUGGUGGCAGAGGUGAAGCCUCUCGUGCUGUCGCACCUUGACGAUCUCUUUGGGUGCACUCGCGCGCACAUGCAGGACCACGCAGUUAUGUGUCCCAUCCUAAUUUCUCCGUUGAUUUUGUCCUUCUCUGAUUUUGGGUUCUUCUCCCUCUUUCUCAAAACGAAAACAAAAAGAUGAAGAGAGAGACGUGCACGGUACGCCACCAUUUGGCGGGCUGUGCAUCCGCUGACUAUCCCACAACCCGCAGGAAAUCGGCGCGAUGAAGCCUUCUCUGUGCGUGUGCCGUUAGGGAGUGCGUGUGAGGGUGUGUGGGGCGGUGAAGGAGCCAGCUCAUGAGCCGCUUCAUCUAUGUUGGCAUAUGCGCGAGCACACGCACACACGCAACUUGUGAGCCAGGAAGGGCCUGCCAUGGGAAACACUAAAGAGGAGAAGAAAAGCGGAGGCGCGCGCACGGUGGGCUGCAGUUGCGGUUGCAGAGCUCUACACCAUACGGUCUAGACAGUCUCGGUCACUGCAUCCUUUUACAAUCACCUAUUCUUGUCUUACUGCCUCUGUGCUGGAGCCUCCGUUCUCGAACCCUCUCUGCUCUUCCACUUUUCCAUGCCCCUUUUAGUACUUUUGGAACGAUGGUGGACGCUCACCCUAUGCUACCUACCUCACCCCGCUUCUCUUCCUUCUCUACUUGACGUUGCCUGCACUGGUCACCGUUUUUGGCGCGUCCGCGCGAACCUCUCCCCCUCCCUCGCCUUCACCUCUUCCAG